CAGUCGCCGCGGUAAUACGAAGGGGGCUAGCGUUGUUCGGAAUUACUGGGCGUAAAGCGCACGUAGGCGGACAUUUAAGUCAGGGGUGAAAUCCCGGGGCUCAACCCCGGAACUGCCUUUGAUACUGGGUGUCUAGAGUAUGGAAGAGGUGAGUGGAAUUCUGAGUGUAGAGGUGAAAUUCGUAGAUAUUUGGAGGAACACCAGUGGCGAAGGCGGCUCACUGGUCCAUUACUGACGCUGAGGUGCGAAAGCGUGGGGAGCAAACAGGAUUAGAUACCCGUGUAGUCCCUGUCUCUUAUAC
Molecule: ribosomal RNA, 301 nt
Filed under: uncultured bacterium
Lineage: Bacteria
Description: partial 16S ribosomal RNA
Rfam family: Bacterial small subunit ribosomal RNA
Source: RNAcentral